UAGAAGUGGUGGAUUCGUGUACUGAUGAAUGUGUCUAGUAUUUGCCUUUUGUGGUGAAUUGUACAACAUUUGAGCAUCACAGUCGACUCAAAUGAAAUAGUUAACACAUUAUAAUAAAUCAUCAAGGUAGGUUGCUCGUUAUUGCCAAAGAAAGGGCCUUGCUUGUUAGCCGGGGAAGCUAACUGGCCAACAUGGACACGGGCGACAACAUAGGGAGCGACUACUGCAGUGUAAGUUGAGUAGUAUAAUUAUUUGUAUCUGUUUUGUAGCACGCCGUUUGUACCCCAUUCGAUACUUUACAUAGACGUUUGUUAUCCGUUAUCAUGGCUGAUAAAUCGAGUGCAAGUUCUAGAAGUAGUGGCAGGAAACGUCAAGCAAUUUCUAUGGAAACGAAGGUGGCCAUCAUCAGGAAGUUGGACGGUGGCGAGAAAAUGGCUAAUGUAGCGCGUGCUUAUGGAGUGAAUCGCUCAACCAUAGGAACAAUUUACAAAGGCAAGGUUUGAAUUAUGGAACAUGUGAAGACUUCUGUACCAAUGGCAUCCACUAUCAUUACAAAGAGAGGACGACGAAGAUUUGUCCUUUCUUCAAUAAUUCCUCCUCCUGCUCGACCACUCCUCUUCAAAGGUGAGGCCUCCCCUUAAUGCACGUCACUGAUCAGCUGGGCACCGCCUUUCUGCAGAGGUGCAGCCGCCGGUGCUCACCUGCAAGCAAUCACACACCUGGCCUACUUAAGCUUGGCAGCAGGACUCAUUUGGUGUGAGAUUGGACCUCAGACUUCACCUUCUGGCUAUGCAGCCAUGCUGCAUGUUACUUGUUUGUGAAGUAACUUUUUGGUCACCUGCUUUAUCUGUGCCGUGAGUAGAUUUUCCCAGCUUGGCUUUUCCAGCAGUGGCGUUUUCUUCUGUACCUUUGCAUAGUAUUGCUCCCUGCUUGGCUUUUCAGCAGCGUCCUUGGUUCUACCUGUAUUAGUGUUUUUUUCCUGACAGACCUUUUUCCCUGGCAGCGCUUUGUGUUUUUUCCCUUUUCGAGUGGCUUGGCCUUGUCCUUAGUUUGGACUAUGUUUAACUGCCUUUUUCUUUGUAUGUGUUUUUCACUCCCGGUGAGAACUCUUUGUAUUAAACUUUUGUUCUGUACAUUGGACUGUGUCGUCUCUGCAUUUGGAAUCCAAUCACUGGCUCAGGCCACCUCAAAGCGACAGCAAUAACUGAGCAUCGUAUUGGUUACUUAUUUAUUUAUUUUUAUUGUUAUUUAUUAUGAUUUAUUUUUGUUACUACUGUUUAAUUUUAUUGUUGUAUUUAGUGUUUUUAUUACUGUGUUUUAUGUCCUUCAUGUGUUCUAUGUACAGUGUGAGUGACUUUUACCUAUGAGUUCCGACUUACAUUAAAAUUCAACUCACAAUGCGCCGCAGGAAUUGAACUUGUUCAUAACUGGACAACCACUAGUACAUACAGUAGUUGUUUCCAAAAUGAUAUAUUUCCGGGGGCCUUUAAGAUUUCAUGAAAACAUUCAGCUGUUCUGUAGUCGCUGGUCGAUUGACUGACAUGAAUAUACAUUUCCAAGUCCAAGCUCUUUUGGCUGUCACUCACCCACACCAAUGAGUCAACAAAACACUGCAAAGCAGCUAAGCAAUAUAAUAAUCUUUUUCUUAUCGCAAGCUACCAGUUGUUAUUUUACUGACAUUGAA
Molecule: long non-coding RNA, 1684 nt
Organism: Dunckerocampus dactyliophorus (ringed pipefish)
Lineage: Eukaryota; Metazoa; Chordata; Actinopteri; Syngnathiformes; Syngnathidae
Exons: 3
Source: RefSeq, a predicted model, not a curated record